This 163-nucleotide unclassified non-coding RNA is filed under the name uncultured Mortierella. RNAcentral's name for it is "sequence contains ITS1". The record is from RNAcentral. Lineage: Eukaryota; Fungi; Mortierellomycota; Mortierellomycetes; Mortierellales; Mortierellaceae.
UAAUGAGUGUUUAUGGCACUUUUAAAAAUCCAUACCCACCUUGUGUGCAUCGUUAGUCAUGUGCCUUGUUCUCUCUUGAGAGAGCGAGGAGGCAGACUUCAAAUUAAUCUAUCUUUAACCAGUUUGUCUGAUAACAUAUUAUGAAUAUACUUAAUUCAAAAUA